Molecule: long non-coding RNA, 698 nt
Organism: Hydractinia symbiolongicarpus
Lineage: Eukaryota; Metazoa; Cnidaria; Hydrozoa; Anthoathecata; Hydractiniidae
Exons: 2
Source: RefSeq, a predicted model, not a curated record
AUUCUCAAUCGAUUAGACUUUAAAGAGUUGAAUGAAGAAUAAUACAUUCUUUUAGAGUCUUCCUUCUGUGUUUUUCUGUUUUCUCUACGCUUAUACUUCAAACUCAUAGCGAAGUGACAUCACAAAGGUAUUGAAUGCGUAUUGAAUUAAUAUCAAGGGGUGUGGCUUGGUGAAAUUUUUUACACACUUCAAAGCUACCUGCUGAUCAAGUUGCAGAACAUCAAAAGUACCGAACGCUUCACAAGAAGGAAAAAUACCGUAACAGUUAUCAAAAGAUUAAUGCCUUAUUAAAUUCAAAUCACAGAGUAAAUUUGUUUUAUUUACCUGCGGUAUUGCUCAUUUACUGUGUUCUUACACAGAUGUAAUACCGCCUUUGAUAAAGGAUAUUUUGGUAAGAAGAAAAAAUUGUUAUUGAUUUUUUCUUACUCGUCAGCUUUUUAUCAAAAAAGAGAUAGAAAAAAUAUACCAUGGAGAGCAGCAGUUCGUACGUCAAUGGAAAACAGAGACUCUAUAACGUUAACAUAUUGCCAGCAGGUCAUAUUGCCUUAAAUCUGCUCCUGUCUCCAGCUUUUGUUAUCCAUGCUUGUAUUUUCGUCAUAGUGAGGUUACAACUACGUUAGGCGCUUAUCUUAAAAUCUAAAGCGUUUAAUUUAAUUGUAUGGCUAAAAAUAUUUAAUUGCUGAUAAUGAUAGCCUUGA